GGGAAAGAUGGCUGUUGUUCCCACCAUUUUCCACAUACGAAACUUUAACGACUCGACCAAUCCAACCCAAAUAAUUUCCAAGCUGAAUAAGCGAGUAUGCAUCUUCAAAUGCGAUGUGGUUUCGAGGAAUAAUCUGCCAAUUUUCGAGUACUCCAAACAUUAUUGGGAGACACAGAACAACGGCUCGUCUCUCAUUACGAUCUCGG
This 206-nucleotide unclassified non-coding RNA is filed under the name Hevea brasiliensis (rubber tree). The record is from RNAcentral. Lineage: Eukaryota; Viridiplantae; Streptophyta; Magnoliopsida; Malpighiales; Euphorbiaceae.